GCAUGAUGAAGAAAGGCACUGCAGUUUUUUCUCUUUUAUUAAGUUUGGUUUACGAAUUACUUGCAAAUUCUAUUACCUACCAAGAACCAAACGUAUAUUCUGACGAAGACAGUGAUGCUGUUCUUAAAUGCAGCUACACGUCUAGCCAAUCGAACCCAUAUUUAUACUGGUAUCGUUACGAUCCCAAAGAUGGCCUUAAGUAUAUUUUAUGCAAAGGUAAAACCAGUUACUCUCAUACAGCGGAGUUUGCAAAAGGAAAGUUUUCGUCGGUAACCGAGGCCAGUCAAUCGGUAUUAACAAUUUCCAGAGUGAAUGUGCAGGACUCCGGGGUUUAUUACUGUGCGAUUGAUACAGCACAGUGA
Molecule: non-coding RNA, 362 nt
Organism: Protopterus annectens (West African lungfish)
Lineage: Eukaryota; Metazoa; Chordata; Ceratodontiformes; Protopteridae
Source: the annotation of a RefSeq genome assembly